RNAcentral lists this ribosomal RNA (269 nucleotides) under uncultured prokaryote. Its description in RNAcentral is "partial 16S ribosomal RNA". It matches the Rfam family "Bacterial small subunit ribosomal RNA", at positions 524 to 792 of the family's 1533-position model. The record is from RNAcentral.
CACGGAGGGUGCAAGCGUUGUUCGGAAUCACUGGGCGUAAAGGACGCGCAGGCGGUCCGGUAAGUCAGAAGUGAAAUCCGUCGGCUCAACCGACGAACGGCUUCUGAUACUGCCGGACUUGAGUACGGGAGAGGAAAGCGGAAUUCCCAGUGUAGAGGUGAAAUUCGUAGAUAUUGGGAAGAACACCGGUGGCGAAGGCGGCUUUCUGGACCGAUACUGACGCUGAGGCGUGAAAGCGUGGGGAGCAAACAGGAUUAGAUACCCGCGUA